AACUAACCCUGGAGAAUAGAUUGUACCUCACUAGCGUCGCCAGUCUCCUAAGCGAAGGUUGGUGUAAGAACCUUCACCUCCUUCUGUUUCAUGGGAGCCGCUGGCGCCAUGUCGGACGCGAUGACAUCUGAAUUGGCAGAAAACACACAUCGGCUGCGAGCGCGGCCGUAUUUUGGAGCUAAACCUAGAAAGUUUCUUGAUUUAUGACGAAAGUGGAGUUCGUGUGGAAAAGGUGGAGGCAAAUCGGUCGAGGUGGGUUUACACAGGGCUGGCAGUUUGGUCCAUACACACGGAUAUAAGAAAUAUGUAUUGACUAUAUUUGCGUAUACUGUACAUACGAGGUUUUCAUUAGCUAAAUUUGGUUAUAUCUGCGUAUAAUGUACAUACAAGGUUUCCAUUAGCUAGACCACGGAUACAAGAAAAAUGAACUGACUAUAUUUGGUUAUAUUUGCGUAUAAUGCAUGGACAAUAUCAUUGAACAUCAGCUAAAUGCCUAAAUUUCCA
Molecule: long non-coding RNA, 504 nt
Organism: Lolium rigidum
Lineage: Eukaryota; Viridiplantae; Streptophyta; Magnoliopsida; Poales; Poaceae
Exons: 2
Source: RefSeq, a predicted model, not a curated record